CACGUAGGGGGCGAGCGUUGUCCGGAUUUAUUGGGCGUAAAGAGCUCGUAGGUGGCUUAGUAAGUCGGGUGUGAAACCUCCAGGCUCAACCUGGAGACGCCACCCGAUACUGCUAUAGCUUGAGUCCGGUAGGGGAGCGUGGAAUUCCUGGUGUAGCGGUGAAAUGCGCAGAUAUCAGGAGGAACACCAAUAGCGAAGGCAGCUCGCUGGGACGUUACUGACGCUGAGGAGCGAAAGCGUGGGGAGCAAACAGG
Molecule: ribosomal RNA, 254 nt
Filed under: uncultured bacterium
Lineage: Bacteria
Description: partial 16S ribosomal RNA
Rfam family: Bacterial small subunit ribosomal RNA
Source: RNAcentral